GACGAACGCUGGCGGCGUGCUUAACACAGGCAAGUCGAACGAUGAUGCCCAGCUUGCUGGGUGGAUUAGUGGCGAACGGGUGAGUAACACGUGAGUAACCUGCCCCUGACUCUGGGAUAAGCGUUGGAAACGACGUCUAAUACUGGAUAUGACUGCCGGCCGCAUGGUCUGGUGGGGGAAAGGUUUUUUGGUUGGGGAUGGACUCGCGGCCUAUCAGCUUGGUGGUGAGGUAAUGGCUCACCAAGGCGACGACGCGUAGCCGGCCUGAGAGGGUGACCGGCCACACUGGGACUGAGACACGGCCCAGACUCCUACGGGAGGCAGCAGUGGGGAAUAUUGCACAAUGGGCGAAAGCCUGAUGCAGCAACGCCGCGUGAGGGAUGACGGCCUUCGGGUUGUAAACCUCUUUUAGUAGGGAAGAAGCGAAAGUGACGGUACCUGCAGAAAAAGCACCGGCUAACUACGUGCCAGCCGCCGCGGUAA
Molecule: ribosomal RNA, 483 nt
Filed under: uncultured bacterium
Lineage: Bacteria
Description: partial 16S ribosomal RNA
Rfam family: Bacterial small subunit ribosomal RNA
Source: RNAcentral